Molecule: long non-coding RNA, 5645 nt
Organism: Cuculus canorus (common cuckoo)
Lineage: Eukaryota; Metazoa; Chordata; Aves; Cuculiformes; Cuculidae
Exons: 3
Source: RefSeq, a predicted model, not a curated record
GCCAGAAAAGGUCUUUGGGAAUAGGGUCAAAAAGGCGGGAGGUGACAGGAGGGCGAGGGUGAGCUCGGCGGAAUCGUAGAAUCACUCGGUUGGAAAAGACCUCUUAGAUCGUCGAAUCCAACCGUUCCUAUCAAUGAAACCGCGUGGGGAGCGGGGACCGGGCGGGCUGAGGUGGUGAAGCCCGAGCCGUGGGGUAGUUCGGUAUGCUUCCUGGCGGUUCGUGCUCCUCGUCCCGUGUUCUGGAGGGUGCCGGGGGCUUCCCCGGCUCGGGAAAAGCCUUGUGAUACGUGAGACCCUGUGUGUGGCGUGGGUUUAGGAUUGGUGUGUGUUGGCUGUGUUUGUGACAGCUUUUUGUGAUUUGCCUGCUUACUGCCCUAGGAAUCAAAGGAUAUGUGGGAUUUCUGAAAUCCUCAGUAGAUCUUCGAUGAGAUUCCGCGGGAGUCAGGAUGCCAGCAGCCUCCCCAGUCUGUGAAGGUUGGCAUAGGACAGAGCACCACAAGGAAGCUGUACAGUGAGGAGCGCUCACCUCCUGACGCUGCUACUGGGGUCAGCUGUGCAUCUGUUAUGAUAUUUGUCCCUACACAGUCAGUGAAGACAACUGAAUCCAUUACAUCAUAUUUUUGUGGUUUAAAAGGCUCAUUAAAUAUUAAGCCAUUUCUGUGGAUUUCAAUUUGAACCAGAUUCCAAGAAGUAGUGAAUGAAAAUUACUCUUUCCCCUUCCUUCCACCUUUUAAUAAUCAAAGAAGUAGUGCGUAAGAAACCCCGUUGAUUAUCACAUCCUUCCCUCAGCAAGAGUGGAUUUGCUUUUAUCUGAUUGCUUUUUAUUAGUUAAUGGAAAUUCUGAAAAACAUCUUCAUUAUUUGUCUUUGAUUGUAGAAAGAAAAUAAGAUUAAUCUUACUGUGGUAAAUGUCCUCUUUCAGUAAUGUAAAUGUUUCAGUGAUGUGAAAUUCCCUUUUAUGAUGAUAGAAUGCAUAAAUUUUUAUUUCUAAUGAAAAGCAUGUGCUAUGGUCGUGUUCAUUAUGUGGAUAAUAAUUGGAAAGUAUACAGUAACACUGUGUUCAAGGACAAGAAAUACAGUUCUAAGUUUUCUCAAUGCAGAAAAUUCACUGCCAUUGUGCCAUCUGUCUCGACGUCAGAUUUAGACACGGGGAGAUGGAAUAAUGCCCCUUCCUGUUGGAGGGAAGACAGAAUCUUUGAAAUCUUUUUCAAAGAAGUAGUCAGCGUGCAUGCAGGUAUCCUGUUUCAUGGGUUUAGCUGAGAUAUCACUAAUUUGCAAAUCUGGCUCAUUGUAACUUCUGUUAGAUUUGAUAAGAAGGAUUUUACAGUUACCCUUAAGGAGAACAGUUAAUCUUAAAGACACAAACAUCUGUACAGUAUUAAAGUUACAUUAAAGAAUAUAGGUACAUCUUAAAGAAAAUACAUAUAUCUUAAAGAAUAUAGAUACAUCUUAAAGAAUAUAGAUGUUGUGCAGCAUUUUGUAAACUAGAUUUGGUUGAUUUUACUACUUGCUCACUUAGAUGCUCACUUUUUUAGAAAAAUGGUGCAAGCAUGACAUUAAGGCAAUAUCUUGAUGACAGUCAGAAUCACUGUGAUUAAUACUCAGCCACCGUAUUAAAGAAUACUUUUGUUUCAAAUCUACAUGAUCGAACCAUUUGUUUUUGUUCUAAAGAGCAUUACCGAUUAGUUUCCAGAGAGGAAGGUCUUAGUCCAUCAUCAUGCCUUUUUUUUCCCCUUAUUUUUUUAUUUAUCACUACUUGAAUAAUCUGAUAUUCUUAAACCCCUGAGGCAAACUCUUUGACUUCCUUAGUCUAGCAGAAAGGUUUUAGCUGUGUAUUGUUUUAAAAUGUUUAUACUGUCACAUGUAUCAUAUUUGUUUCAGCUGGAAAAAUACGUUUAUUGAAAAUCCUGUUUGCUGGUUGCCUUAACGGUUUCCAAAGUGCUUGCACCUUUCAUUUACUCAAAAAAAAAUUUACAUGCAAGUGUUUUAUGUUGCUUUGGGGAACAUCAAAGCUGAAGCUUAGCAAGUCAAACAUCUUUUAUGAGUGGUGCUUUUUUGUAUAGAUAGGAAGCUCAUUCCCUUGAAAUAGUAAAAAAAAACAACCAAAGUUAAAGAUGCCUCUCUUCUAAGAAUUUUGUAUGGGUUUUUCUCCAGAUGAACCUUUAAAUCAUAUCCUGAAUUUUAUUUGCAGCUUAUUUCACAUUCCAAUUCAUGAUGUAUUCUGAGGUGGUUGGUUUUUGUAAGACUCUAAAUGAGCCUAAUCUAAUCCUAGCAUCAAACAUUACUGGUUUUGGAAGUUAACGCUUGUUUCUGUUGUGUAACACUGAUAGUGCUACUGGUGAGUCAUGGAGUAAAGAAGACAAUAUCAUAUUGAGGAAAAUCAAAUGCAUUAAAAAUUAUGAAGGUCCAAGAACUCUGUAGUGCUUAUAAUCUGAUACAUACUUUGCAUUAGAACAUGUUCUACCUGUAUUAAUUAUGCAUAGUACUAGACACAAACAGGAUGCUUUCUAGCAUGAAAGCUGUCUAAAAUAACAGAAAAAGAGGGCUUGGAUUCAAAAGAUGUGGGCUGAAACAGAUCAUGAGUGGAAUUCUGCAUGAGGUUUGAGAGGGUUUUUCUGUCUCCAGAAAAUGAAAGAGCUUGAUGUAAAGUAAUUCUCCAAAGGAGAUUGCAGUGCUUAAGGCCAGACUCUAUUCCCACCCUGAGAAGUAGGCAUAGUCUGUGAAUUCAUUUCUGCUGGCUAACUGCAGCUUGGGAUGGUUAAACAUGUUGUUGCACAGAACCCUUCAGUCUCGCCGAGGCCUGGGAAUAUGAAAUUCCUCGCUCAUCCUACACCAGGAGCUGCAGUUGGGCUGCAAGCCGUACAUGAGUCCUGCUUUAGCUGCAUACAUACAGCAGCAGUUGAGGGAUUUACUGUAGUAGGGCUGAUAACAGGGGAGGCCCCAAUGCUCCUUCCUCCUCGCUGCCCAGAGAAACGUUCUUAAGCAACUCCGCAUUGUAACAGGGCUGGCAUGCCACAAUACACAUGGCAGCCAAGUGACAAGCUGGACUUACUCAAGACAUACAGUGUUAGAAUAGUUAGAGCAGGUGCUCCUGUUGCGUCACCAAUGAGCAGCUGAAAUGCAAUUGCAUAUCUCCACAUGAGCUGGCUCCGAUCUUGCUGCUGGCUAGUCAGCAGUGCACAAAUCUGGGUUUAAUAAAUAUGGAACCAUAAAUUUAGACAGGAGCAGGAACUGGCAACUAAUGAUUGUGACUUUUAGUGCCCUCUCAGGUGUUCAUGCAACCAUUUGUGAAGCCAUGCUGUAAAUCGGGUUACUCAAUCCAGAUUUUAAAAGUUCUGUCUGAAAUAAUUUUUAACCAGAAUUAUUCCGUGGAUUAAGUUCACACUCUGCUCCCACAAACAGUUGCAUUGGCACAGUUGCAGCAUUGGUAGACUGUGACACACAGAUGGCAGGCUGCUGGAUAGUUAUUUUGUCAGUGGGGACAAUAUUCCUGCACAAUUCUAACCUUAUUCUGAACCACAGACUCUCCAUCAAUUUCACUUUCUGAUCCCUCAUGCUCAGCCCUUCUCAAACUGUGCCUAUAGUCAGACUUACAUGUUAAUGCUUGAUCGAUCAAGAUCAAAUAUGAGCAUGUAAUUGCAUUCCUGUCAAGAUUAGCCAGCAAUGAAUUAUGGUUUUUAGACCAAGCUUUAUCCUGGCUUUAUACCGACAGCAGGAAGACAGAUGAUAUCAACUCUAGCGUAAAAUCAUCAGGAGUAAAACCACUCUCCAUUCCUUGUUUUGUAACAGUGUUGUUUUUAAAUAACUGCUGGUGGGUUGAAUUUGUUCAAAUUAUUUUGUGCUGUGUCGUGGUACAAAAACUAAAUCUAUUCUAUCAUGAAAUUGCAGUUGUAUACUGCUGAGAGCACACCUUCAGCUUCUCUUGUAGGUCUUUUUUUUAAUGCAUGACUCCGCGUGAAUCCUAGUGCAAAGGGGAGGUGAUUCCUUGUUAAAGGGGAUGUGUAAUAUUUUAAAUUCUUAAUGUGUUUAACCAAGAAAGGUCCCUAUUUAUUCUUACACAUGGGGUCUGGGGCAGAAAAAACAUCACUUGCCUCUCACAUCCUUUCCUUUUCAUGGCUAUACAUACUAUUUUAUUCUUUGGGUGUAAGAAUUAUCCCAUACACUUCCGUACCAAAAGAAAAACAUUUUGAUGUUUUCUUACCAUAAGAAGUGUAUUUUCAAUUUAAAAAGCAGAUCUGCACUUCAGUUGUCUUUCUCCUACUGUAUCUCUCUUUAUAGGAAGAAAAACUGUCUCUAAAUACAAGAAGAUGUUAAACAAGUGAGAGUCAAAGUUAAAGCUUGGCAAGCACUAAAACAAUGAAUUUUUCCAAGGAAAUGGAGGAGACAGGUCAAAUUAAUUCCUUAUGUAACUCCAUUUACCUCUUGAAGGAUGAAUUUGAUACCUUGUACCUCUCUUGUCAGAAAAGAAUUUCUGUGAUCUCAGUCAGCAAAGUAUAAAAUAUUCAUUCUUAAGAUGCAAAAUUGUAAUUGAAAAUUUAGAACUGUCCUUGUUAUUUUUAGUCUAUUAAUAUAAUUGUAAAAGAACAAUAGGUCUACAGAACAACAACAAAAACGGCUUCAUAGAAAGAUUAGUAGAUGAUGAUUUGCAGCUUACAUCCUUAGUAACUUUUUUUUAGGGGAAAGAGGAAUGCAUGACAGACUGCUAAAAUGAGCAGUGACAUCAGGGACAGCCUCUCCUGAGUUCCAAAAGCUCUUCUCCAGUGUGUUGCAUUGCAACUUUAAGUUUUUUCCUCUGAUCUCAUUAUUCUCCCUUGACAACCCCAAUUCAGUCCUCCUUUCCCUCGAGUUUCUUUGGGUUCCACUGUGUGUGCAGUGAUCUCUGUGGCUUCUCCUUAUUGCUGAGCUUUUUAAAUUUUUCUCUUCAGGCAGAACUAUUCAGCCUCUUGGGGCAGAUGAAAGAGAGAUGUUUGGCCUCCACCAUAAUGUCUUUUUAGAUUUAAAAUUUCAAUAGGCUUGAAUUUAAGAUGGUUUAAAAUAACACAUUUUCACUGUGAGAAUGCAGCCUCCAUGUGUUCAUCUGUAGCACUCAAAUAUAGCUGUACGCAGAGAUUAUUUCCGUUUUAAAACCCUGUUAUGAAACAUCGACCCCUGCCUCCCCACGCCUAUUCCAAAUUCAGGAAAUACUUUGAAUAUCAAUAUCUUAAGAUUUUUUAUUCUUUUUAUAUGUAAUAUAAAGCGAUCCAUGUAGUAUAUGAGUGCAGUGAAAUUGAAGUUAAGAGUCUGCCUUUUUAACCUUACCAACUUGAAACUCAGUUUUAAUGCAGGGGAAAGAAUCCUUGUAUACAUGGAUAUAAAAGAUGUGAAAAUACAAAAUACAAAGGCAUUUCAUGAAAACAGACAAAACCAGGAAGAUGAUAAAAUAGCAGAAGGAAGUGGCCUCAGAUAUAAAAUCUUUUGCUUUGUAUAGCAGAAUUUGUCGCUAAAAGCUAAGGCUGGCAAAUUGCCACUCUUCAGAUAAAACUAGCAAUGUAGUACAGAAAAAAAAUUGACUUAGUGUACAAAAGACAAUAGAGAUAUUUGAUAAACUAAUGCCUUACACAGUAAUUAAAUUAAACAUUUUUUUUCCUUUUUCUUUAUGUGUAUCUU